AUGUAUGGCCAUAUCACUCUGAAAUCUCCUAAUCUUGGCUGAUCUCAGAAGCUAAACAGGGUAGGACAUGGUUAGUACUUGGGUUGGGAGAAAGAGACCUAAUCAUUUGCUGUGAGUU
Molecule: ribosomal RNA, 118 nt
Organism: Dipodomys ordii (Ord's kangaroo rat)
Lineage: Eukaryota; Metazoa; Chordata; Mammalia; Rodentia; Heteromyidae
Source: Ensembl